CGCUGAGGGCCUCGCUUACUGCUGCGACACGGGGAGAAACAGAGGAAUCGGAGGGACUACUUUUUCUUCCUUAUUACUUUCCCCAGCCGCCUGCUUUUCCCUCCCCCCACCUUUUUUUUUUUGCAUUUUGCCACAUCAUGCGACUAGGGGCGACUAACGUCAUUUCCGUGGGCGCUUUAGGUCCCACCCACGUACUUCCGGGUGCACGUGACGCUGUCGGGAAAGGUCGGCUGACUGCUGCCAGAAUGCAGAGCCAGUUCUAGGGAAGUGCGGCGUCUCCUGGGAAUGAGGUGGCUGUUGGGCCGCCUUGAGGAAUCGCGGUUCCGCUCCCUUCCCCUAUGGGCCCUGCCUAUUUAAACAGAGUCCCUUACGAAGAGGACGUGGCGUGGGCAGCUGGGCCCAGCCUCCGGCCCUCUCCGUGACUCAGGGAAACGGCCUCCCUGCAGGGCGCUCUUGGCAGCCGGCUGCCGCGCUCCUCCCCCGCCUAGUUUCUUGUGGUGGGUGGUGUGUUACAUCCCAGGGAGGGGGCAUUGAAAGGGGGUUUAAAAUCCUGCCUGCCCUUAAUGCUCGCCCUUUUGACGGUUGGACAAGCUGACGCUUGGAUCCUGACAGAACUAGUGGUCUCUUCGGAUGUUAAACAAUUGACUCAAAGGGCAGUGAAGGCCACUUACCAGUGGGACCACUUCAACAUUGUCAAUUAGAAGUGUUUGGGAAUGCAAGCGCUUCACAGCUGGAGCAUCGUGUCUUCUAACAACAUUAAGUUUACCUCACAAACUGAGGAUGAGAGAAGAAUCUUUGGCAGUAAAGAGAGCGGACGGAGACUGUUCUGCAAAGAAAAGCCUUGCCACCAUGUCAUCAGAGUGAAUAUUUAUGCGUGGCAAAAUUCCAUUGUUUUGUUAAGCCAAAUAGUUGAAGAUGUUCUGUAUUCUGCAGCAUUUGAAAUGACCUUCUAAUACCAAUUUUAGUAGCUGCUUUGAAUUUUUUUUGGAAGUAUACAAAUUCUAAAUUAAAAAUCUAAAGGAGUUACUUUUUGAUUACAGUUAAAGGAGUAGCUUAAUCAAGUUAACAUUUCCAAUCUCAGAAUCUGGGAUACAAGAGCUGUACUACGAACUGGCCACCAAAAAUUUUCUUUAUUAAUAACUCUUGCAUUUUCAGACAGACCUGUAAUUUUAAAGACGUUUAGAAUCCGCAAAGCAAUUGAUUUUAGCUUGGAUAUUUGGUGUGGAAUAUCUAACUAGAAGUCCACUGAGGUUCUGUUAAAGUGACUGCUGUGUCAUCACGCACAGAAAUAUAAUGCAUGCAUUGUUUUCAGAACCACUUAGAAGAAAAAUAGAUUACAGUAUACCAGCUCAUUUUGAACACGGUAUCCUUCAAUAAAUCCAAAAUUUUCAAGAGAAAAAAAUGUACCAGAUGAUAAAGAUUAAAAAAAACAAAAAAACAAACCCCAAAACCGAAACCGAUGCCUUUUAAAGAUUAAUGAUUUUGGCUGAGGUAAUGAGAGCUUUUUAUGGUAGUACACUGUUCUUGCUACUGGUGUAGAGGCAGGACGAAAGGUUGUCAAUACUUGGUUUAGAAGCCCCAAAGGCUGAGUCACUGUUAAGUUACCUGAAAAGUAAUUGAAUGGCUUUGUUUUCAGGCACUACCUUAAGUUAGAGAAGAUAGAAAAAAAACAAAAAAACUCCAGCAUUUGUUUUCUGGUUUAUUAGGUUAUCUAAGUAUGACAAAGUCUUUUAAUAAGACUAUAAAUGUAUUAUCAUCGCAGCUUUUAGUUUCAGGAAAUGUUUUAGUAAGGUAGGCAUGUUAAUAAAAUAAAUCAUCAAAUUCUUUGAAGUAUUUUUAGCAGAAUAUUCAAUAGUAGGUCCUCGCUCUGAGUCACAGCAAGUGCUGUUAGCAAAAACUGCAUUGCUCGUCUGCUAUUUUGAGGAGUGCCAGUUUCUCAAAACCUAUGCAAGAAAACUUUAUUGUGUUCCUAAUUUUAUAUUUUAUGCCAGGACCUGUUUUAUACACACAUACACACACACACACACCCUCCCCCACACUCACCCCUCCAAUGUGAAUGACACAUCAGAAAAACUUUUCAUUGUAGGAUUCCUCUGUAGUUUUUCAUCUUCAAGCAACGCUGGAUUUAAGGCCCCUGCCUUUUAACUUGACCUUUUAAAAACAGCAUGAACUAGCUGCAUUGCAAAGCCACAAAGUAAUGGCAUUUCUCAAACGUUAAGAGAUUAAUUUUAAAGCAGAAGUUUAAACCUAACCCACUGUACCAAAUAUUUAAAAUUCAGAUUUUAAUGAAACCAAGAGGGAUAUGCUUUAGCAUUACCUAAGUAAGUGGUUUUGCCAUUUAAACAGCAACUUUGAGAAACAUCUCAGCCCCCUAGGGCCACUGAUGUGAAUCACAGCAGGAUUAGAUAAAGAGCAUGUCAAAGGCCAAUAAGUGGCUCAGGUAUCAGUCAACAUACACUGCCUACUUUAUUUUGAUCCCAUACAAGGCACUGAUUAUAGGCAAAGCACACCCAAAUAGAACAUUUUACAAAGCAAGAAAAAAAAUUUCAUGGUCUUAUUUUAGUAUGAAAUGGACCUUAACUUAAACUUAUCACUCACUGCUCAAGCUUGUCCUAAACCUAAUUUAUUUAGACAAGUUUUAUAAUGUAUCACGGAUGGCAAUAAGAUCUGUAGUGAAUUUAUUCUGCGUCAGGAUCAAGCAUGUUCCAAGUGAAUAAUCAAGACUAGCCCUGUGGGAAUACAAUCUGGAAUCUAGCAUAUUAUAUGGGCCCCUCCCAUGUUUUCUAAAGGUUAAAUCCAAUCCCAGCAGAGGAAUGAAGUAGCUCAUAACAUUACCUUAAAAAGUCAUCUCAGAAAAGUUGGUUCAAAUACAGUGAUACACAGAGCUUUGGAAACAGAAAAACCCAGAAGAGUUAUAACACUACUGAUCAACAGAUGUCACAACAUCCCUUCCAAAUGGAAAAACAAAAGGUAUAAUAAGCUUGAGAUGAUUUACAGAAUGAAGGGGCCUGAGUGUGGGAAUGAUUGUUACGGGCUUUUUCUCCCCUCCUUUCUAAAUAUGUAAGAACUGUCCCUUUUUACCUCCUGGAGUUAUUACUGUCUCCAAAGCAGGGUAUGACCCACAAACGUGUUCUCUCAGCAAUCUUAAAAUUCUGUCACACUCCAGGGUUGGUUCUACAAGUAGCAAUGCACCUAUGCAGCCUUGUGAUCAUAAUAAACUCAUUCUCAGAAGAGAAUAUUAAGGACUGAGAUUUGGUAAACAUUUUGGUUAACUCAAUAAUAGCAAAGUCAAGGAAAAAUAAUUUGCUUGGUCAACAAACACUUCAGUACAUACAAUGAAAAAUAUUUAAUGUUAAAAUCUUUUGAAAGGCUUUAAAAAUAUUUUUAUAUGGGGAAAUCAAUUCUGAAUCUUAUAGGCUCAGGUUCAUCACUGUGAAGUUUUUGUAUAGUAUUCUUGCUAAUGUAACAUGAUCUGAAUAUGUACCAAAUGUAGGACACACUAGAAAUUACUGUCUUUUAAAUGCCUUAUGCCUCAAUGUGUCAUGGCUGAUAAAAGUGCAUUAUGUAAAACAAACCCAAAACCUGUUUACUUUUCCUUGUUGCUCAUAUUCCAAAUAACUAUGAG
Hippopotamus amphibius kiboko is the source of this 3625-nucleotide long non-coding RNA. RefSeq lists it as uncharacterized. The record is from RefSeq and is a predicted model, not a curated record. The transcript is spliced from 3 exons. NCBI's taxonomy places the organism in Eukaryota, Metazoa, Chordata, Mammalia, Artiodactyla, Hippopotamidae.